This is a long non-coding RNA of Cololabis saira (Pacific saury), 951 nucleotides long. RefSeq lists it as uncharacterized. NCBI's taxonomy places the organism in Eukaryota, Metazoa, Chordata, Actinopteri, Beloniformes, Belonidae. The record is from RefSeq and is a predicted model, not a curated record. The transcript is spliced from 3 exons.
ACUCCAUACAUCACAGUGGAUGAAGGUACACCUGACUCCUCCAGGAAGUUGUAUUCUAGGAGUACUUCUCAGCCCCAAAUAGCUUCUUUAUAUUCUGGCUCUACCUUGGCUCUACCAAAAUCAGCCUCGUUUACUCCUGAAACAGAAUUUCAGAAGAAUCAUAGUUCUUCAGCACAGUUGAAUGUAAAGGUCUCCUUGAGCAUCACGCCACCGCCGGGACUGAAAAAUGAAAAAUAUCAGAUUCCAGAAAUCUUUCUAACACUACGUGCACCAGGAGAUAAUAUCGUGAUACCUCUGAAUCCAGUAUUUGGCAGACCCCUAACCCUAGACUUAAAUCUUAUCCCCAAAAAACAUGUUAAAUCCAAGCACUGUUCUCCAAGCCGUGCCAGUCCCAGGAAAGUCCAUUCACGGCCAUCAUCUCCUUACCGAGGUUCACCCGCCAAGUUUGUGACCCCCCUUAUCAGCCCUGAUGAGGACUGCUUUUCCCUGAUUGAGAAGAUACACACAGCCCACCUGCAAAAAGGAAUGCCCCAAGGAGGACAAAAUGCUAAAGAGUUUCAGGAGAGGGAAAAGGUAGAGCAAAGAAAGGGAAAGGGGACUGGAAAGAAAGAUAAGAAGAGUGGUUCCAAUAAAUAAGAGACAUUGGACUUGGAAUACAGGAACAAUUAUGGAAAUUACCAAUGAAACAUCAGUAUUGGUUUUGAAAAUAAUGUCACAUUAGAGUUUUUGUUGUUUUCAGAUGCCCACAGUAAUUAGAAGCUCCUGCUAGGGUUAUAUUAUAAGUAGUUUGAUGCUAGAAUUUGACAUACAUGCAGGGUAUGCACUGUUGUCUUUUAAUUUUUUUGGUGUGGGUGAAAAUGCUUAGGUUUGUGUCUUAUUUUACUUUAAAUUUGCAAUGUAUACUAUAUACACAGAAUAUAUAUUUAUAUAGCUCUGUUAAACUAUGUAAGG